ACGCUCGACACCUACGGGAGGCAGCAGUGAGGAAUAUUGGUCAAUGGGCGCAGGCCUGAACCAGCCAAGUAGCGUGAAGGAUGACUGCCCUAUGGGUUGUAAACUUCUUUUAUAUGGGAAUAAAGUUUUCCACGUGUGGAAUUUUGUAUGUACCAUAUGAAUAAGGAUCGGCUAACUCCGUGUCAGCAGCCGCGGUAAUCUGAGCGGGCUGGCAAGGC
Molecule: ribosomal RNA, 218 nt
Filed under: uncultured bacterium
Lineage: Bacteria
Description: partial 16S ribosomal RNA
Rfam family: Bacterial small subunit ribosomal RNA
Source: RNAcentral